RNAcentral lists this ribosomal RNA (253 nucleotides) under uncultured bacterium. Its description in RNAcentral is "partial 16S ribosomal RNA". It matches the Rfam family "Bacterial small subunit ribosomal RNA", at positions 524 to 776 of the family's 1533-position model. The record is from RNAcentral.
UACGGGGGGGGCGAGCGUUGUCCGAAGUUACUGGGCGUAAAGCGCGUGUAGGCAGGUUGUUAAGUCCGCUGUGAAAGCCCGGUGCUCAACGCCGGAGGGUCGGUGGAUACUGGCAGUCUUGAAGUGGCUAGGGGGAAAUGGAAUUACCGGUGUAGCGGUGAAAUGCGUAGAUAUCGGUAGGAACACCAGUGGCGAAGGCGGUUUCCUGGAGCUAACUUGACGCUGAGACGCGAAAGCUGGGGGAGCAAACGGG